CGAAAUGUAGUUUAAUUAGAGAACGUUGGCUUUGGGGGUCAUCGGUAGGGGUUCAAGUCCUCUUGUUUCGA
RNAcentral lists this transfer RNA (71 nucleotides) under Alytes obstetricans pertinax. RNAcentral's name for it is "tRNA-Pro". It matches the Rfam family "tRNA". Rfam says of the family: Transfer RNA (tRNA) molecules are approximately 80 nucleotides in length. Their secondary structure includes four short double-helical elements and three loops (D, anti-codon, and T loops). Lineage: Eukaryota; Metazoa; Chordata; Amphibia; Anura; Alytidae. The record is from RNAcentral.